Molecule: ribosomal RNA, 253 nt
Filed under: uncultured bacterium
Lineage: Bacteria
Description: partial 16S ribosomal RNA
Rfam family: Bacterial small subunit ribosomal RNA
Source: RNAcentral
UACGGAGGGUGCAAGCGUUAUCCGGAAUAACUGGGUUUAAAGCGUGCGUAGGCUGCUGUAUAAGUCAGGGGUGAAAGUUUGUCGCUUAACGAUAGAAUUGCCUUUGAUACUGGGCGGCUUGAAAUUAGGUGAGGUUGGCGGAAUGUGACAUGUAGCGGUGAAAUGCGUAGAUAUGUCAUAGAACACCGAUUGCGAAGGCAGCUGGCUAGCCUAUAUUUGACGCUGAGGCACGAAAGCGUGGGUAGCAAACAGG